CAAUAGCGUAUAUUUAAGUUGUUGCAGUUAAAAAGCUCGUAGUUGGAUUUCGGAUGGGACUUGCCGGUCCGUCGUUUCGAUGUGCACUGGCCAGUCCUAUCUUGUUGUCGGGGACUAGCUCCUGGGCUUCACUGUCCGGGACUAGGAGCUGACGAGGUUACUUUGAGUAAAUUAGAGUGUUCAAAGCAAGCCUACGCUCUGAAUACAUUAGCAUGGAAUAACACGAUAGGACUCUGGCUUAUCUUGUUGGUCUGUGAGACCAGAGUAAUGAUUAAGAGGGACAGUCGGGGGCAUUCGUAUUUCAUUGUCAGAGGUGAAAUUCUUGGAUUUAUGAAAGACGAACUUCUGCGAAAGCAUUUGCCAAGGAUGUUUUCGUUGA
This 379-nucleotide ribosomal RNA is filed under the name uncultured eukaryote. Its description in RNAcentral is "partial 18S ribosomal RNA". It matches the Rfam family "Eukaryotic small subunit ribosomal RNA", at positions 592 to 976 of the family's 1831-position model. The record is from RNAcentral.